Molecule: long non-coding RNA, 1069 nt
Organism: Helianthus annuus (common sunflower)
Lineage: Eukaryota; Viridiplantae; Streptophyta; Magnoliopsida; Asterales; Asteraceae
Exons: 2
Source: RefSeq, a predicted model, not a curated record
UAUAAUGAGAAAACUCACUCCAGUUGAGAAAACCCAAGAAACCCACAUAUGUGGCUAGGAUUCAGCCACGUCACAUCUGCCACAUUGAUAAGUGAGGGGUAUAUACGUCAUUUUGCAUUAUUGCAGAAAAUGUAACAGUCAUUUUCCCUCUCUACAAUUAAAACUCACCAUAUCUUUUUAAAACUCACCAGAUCUCAUUUCCUCCUUCAUCUCUCUUCUCUAUCACACUUUUCCCUCUCCCUCUCACUUGUUCCAAUAUAGAGAAAACAACAACAAAAAUGAAAUUGGAGAAACUGAUGAGCAUUAGAUCCAUGUAGACUCCAUCUAGAUCUAGAUCUGGACCGUCAUCUAGAUCUGGAUCCAUCAUGUUUCUUUUAAACCCGUUAAGAUCUAGAUCUGGAUCCAUCAUGUUUCUUUUCAAACCCCAUGAAGACGGAUUCUCUUUGGUUUAUUUUAAAGAAAAUCUUACACGAAGAAGAUGAUGAACCAGAUAUCGAAGAGAAGGCUGAAGUUUUUGUUCGAAACCAGGGAAAGAUCAGGUGAAAUUACACAUUUUUUUUUACGUUUUUGAGGAGGCUGAAGGGGUUUGUUCGAAAAUCUUGUUCAAGAAGGUGAAUAAAUCUGUACCGACCAAAACAAUUUGAAGUUGAUGUUUCAGAUGUUGAAGAUGAUUCAAAAGAUGUUUGAUGUUAAACAUAGUUACGAAAUGUAACAAUCAAAGAAAAAAUGCAUGUUACAUUUUUUCGUGUUACAUGAAUAAUGCACGUUACUGAAAAUAAAGUGGAUUGUUACACUUUUUAGACUGUUGUAAAAAUAAAGUGUGUUGUUAUAUUUUUACCAGAUUAUUGUAAAAACAAAGUGACUGUUACAGAAACAAAGUGUGUUGUUACAUUUUUUUUUUGUGUUAGAAAUGUAACAAUCAAUCAAAGCAAAAAUGCAUGUUACAUUUUUUUGUGUUACAAAAAUAAUGUCCGUUACAGAAAAUAAAGUGCAUUUGAUCAUGUAAAAAUUAUAUGUUACGUUUCUGUGUAAUAUUUUAUGUUAUAGAAAUAAAGUGUGUUAUUACAAA